AGAGUCAGCGAAGGCAGUUGCGGACUCAAUACCCGAGUCUGAGGAAAGUCCGGGCUCCCAAAAGACUAAAUCUGCUGGGUAACGCCCAGUGCGAGCGAUCGUGAGGAUAGUGCCACAGAAAGAUACCGCCUUUUCAGUCAACAGGAGAGAGGGGACAGGAGACAGUGAAUAACUGAGAACUGAUAACUGUUUACUGAUCACUGAAAGGGUAAGGGUGCAAAGGUGCGGUAAGAGCGCACCAGCAACGUCGUGAGGCGUUGGCUCGGUAAACCCCAGGUGGGAGCAAGGUCGGAGGAACUACGGUUGGUCUUUUCCCGGUUCCGGUUGAGGUGGCACCGCUAGAGGUGUUUGGUAACAAACAUCCCAGAUAGAUAACUGCCCUUUUGACUGCUAGCAGUUGAAAGAACAGAACCCGGCUUAUGUCUGACUCUCUCU
Limnoraphis robusta CS-951 is the source of this 435-nucleotide non-coding RNA. It matches the Rfam family "Bacterial RNase P class A". From Rfam's summary of the family: Ribonuclease P (RNase P) is a ubiquitous endoribonuclease, found in archaea, bacteria and eukarya as well as chloroplasts and mitochondria. Its best characterised activity is the generation of mature 5'-ends of tRNAs by cleaving the 5'-leader elements of precursor-tRNAs. NCBI's taxonomy places the organism in Bacteria, Bacillati, Cyanobacteriota, Cyanophyceae, Oscillatoriales, Sirenicapillariaceae. The record is from Rfam.